RNAcentral lists this long non-coding RNA (262 nucleotides) under Panax ginseng (ginseng). Its description in RNAcentral is "long non-coding RNA (PGIN_LNC003867)". Lineage: Eukaryota; Viridiplantae; Streptophyta; Magnoliopsida; Apiales; Araliaceae. The record is from RNAcentral.
AACAGAUUCAUAACCACCCUCGUAAACAUAAGAGACAUAUAUAUGAUUGCAAAAGAACAGAAAUUACCUAUAUGACUGCUAAAGAACAGAAAUUACCUAUGCAACGUUUGAGGUAUUCCAAAAAUAUUAAGUUACCUUGUUGACAUAGUUAUGGGACCACCAUCUUACAGUAAGCCAUUGAGGACGACCAAAGAGCUGCAGGAAAAAUAAAAGAAUGCAUCAAAAUAUAUUCAUAUAUGAUCAACUUAAGCUCCAUGUAUAU